ACUCCUACGGGAGGCAGCAGUGGGGAAUAUUGCACAAUGGGCGCAAGCCUGAUGCAGCCAUGCCGCGUGUGUGAAGAAGGCCUUCGGGUUGUAAAGCACUUUCAGUCGUGAGGAAGGUAGUGUAGUUAACACCUGCACUAUUUGACGUUACCUACAGAAGAAGCACCGGCCAACUACGUGCCAGCAGCCGCGGUAACACGUAGGGUGCGAGCGUUGUCCGGAAUUAUUGGGCGUAAAGAGCUCGUAGGCGGUGUGUCGCGUCGGCCGUGAAAACUUGGGGCUUAACUCUGAGCGUGCGGUCGAUACGGGCAUCACUUGAGUUCGGCAGGGGAGACUGGAAUUCCUGGUGUAGCGGUGAAAUGCGCAGAUAUCAGGAGGAACACCGGUGGCGAAGGCGGGUCUCUGGGCCGAUACGUGACGCUGAGGAGCGAAAGCAUGGGGAGCGAAGCAGGAUUAGA
Molecule: ribosomal RNA, 458 nt
Filed under: uncultured bacterium
Lineage: Bacteria
Description: bacterial SSU rRNA
Rfam family: Bacterial small subunit ribosomal RNA
Source: RNAcentral